This 424-nucleotide ribosomal RNA is filed under the name uncultured bacterium. Its description in RNAcentral is "partial 16S ribosomal RNA". It matches the Rfam family "Bacterial small subunit ribosomal RNA", at positions 360 to 776 of the family's 1533-position model. The record is from RNAcentral.
AAUAUUGGACAAUGGGCGAAAGCCUGAUCCAGCCAUGCCGCGUGUGUGAAGAAGGUCUUCGGAUUGUAAAUCACUUGAAGUUGGGAGGAAGAUUUGUAGGCUAAUACCUUGCAAUUUUGACGUUACCACCAGAAUAAGCAACUGCUAACUUCGUGCGAGCAGCAGAGGUAAUACGAUGGGUGCAAGCGUUAAUCGGAAUUACUGGGCGUAAAGCGUGCGUAGGUGGUUCGUUAAGUUGGAAGUGAAAGCCCCGGGAUUAACCUGGGAAUUGCUUUCAAAACUGACGAGCUAGAGUACGGUAGAGGGUAGUGGAAUUUCCUGUGUAGCGGUGAAAUGCGUAGAUAUAGGAAGGAACAUCAGUGGCGAAGGCGACUACCUGGACUGAUACUGACACUGAGGUGCGAAAGCGUGGGGAGCAAACAGG